GUCGAGAAUAAUUCACAAUGGACGAAAGUCUGAUGGUGCAACGCCGCGUGGAGGAUGAAGGUCUUCGGAUUGUAAACUCCUGUCAUCGGGGAGUAAGACCUGGCGGUAAAUAGCCGACAGGGUUGAUAGUACCCGAAGAGGAAGGGACGGCUAACUUCGUGCCAGCAGCCGCGGUAAUACGAAGGUCCCAAGCGUUGUUCGGAAUCACUGGGCGUAAAGGGAGCGUAGGCGGCGUGGUAAGUCAGAUGUGAAAUCCCGGGGCUCAACCCCGGAACUGCAUCCGAUACUGCCAUGCUUGAGGGUUGGAGAGGUAGCUGGAAUUCUCGGUGUAGCAGUGAAAUGCGUGGAUAUCGAGAGGAACACUCGUGGCGAAGGCGAGCUACUGGACAACAUCUGACGCUGAGGCUCGAAGGCCAGGGGAGCAAAAGGGAUUAGAUACCCUAGUAGUCC
This 450-nucleotide ribosomal RNA is filed under the name uncultured bacterium. RNAcentral describes it as "partial 16S ribosomal RNA". It matches the Rfam family "Bacterial small subunit ribosomal RNA", at positions 354 to 796 of the family's 1533-position model. The record is from RNAcentral.